CGUGUAGGCGGCCCGAUUAGUCCGCUGUGAAAGUCCAGGGCUCAACCCUGGAAUGCCGGUGGAUACUGUCGGGCUAGAGUCCGGAAGGGGCGAGUGGAAUUCCUGGUGUAGCGGUGAAAUGCGCAGAUAUCAGGAGGAACACCAAUGGCGAAGGCAGCUCGCUGGGACGUGACUGACGCUGAGACGCGAAAGCGUGGGAGCAAACA
Molecule: ribosomal RNA, 206 nt
Filed under: uncultured bacterium
Lineage: Bacteria
Description: partial 16S ribosomal RNA
Rfam family: Bacterial small subunit ribosomal RNA
Source: RNAcentral